Molecule: ribosomal RNA, 424 nt
Filed under: uncultured bacterium
Lineage: Bacteria
Description: partial 16S ribosomal RNA
Rfam family: Bacterial small subunit ribosomal RNA
Source: RNAcentral
AAUAUUUUUCAAUGGUCGCAAGCCUGCUGCAGCCAUGCCGCGGGUGUGAAGAAGGUCGUCGGAUGGUAAAGAACUUUAAUUUGGGAGGAAGGGCAGUUAACGAAUACUUAACUGUUGUGAUUGUACUAAAAGAAUAAGCACCGGCUACCUUCGUCCCAGCAGCCGCGGUAAUACGAAGGGGGCAAGAGUCAUUCGGAAAUAUUGGGCGUAGAGCGCGCGUAGGUGGUUCGGUAAGUUAGAAGUGAAAGCCCCGGGCUCAACCUAGGAAUUGCUUUCAAAACGGGAGAGCUAGAGUACGGUAGAGGAUAGUGGAAUUUACUGUGUAGCGGUGAAAUGCGUAGAUAUAAGAAGGAACAUCAGUGGCGAAGGCGACCACCUGGACUGAUACUGACACUGAGGUGCGAAAGCGUGGGGAGCAAACAGG